Molecule: long non-coding RNA, 551 nt
Organism: Chinchilla lanigera (long-tailed chinchilla)
Lineage: Eukaryota; Metazoa; Chordata; Mammalia; Rodentia; Chinchillidae
Exons: 3
Source: RefSeq, a predicted model, not a curated record
AAAGGCCAAAGACUGGAAGACCCUGCUGUGCCAAGUGGCUCGCAGCACGGAUAGCCUCAUCCGUGGGCCACAAAAGCCCAUGAUCUCCUUCACCAGACAUGGGCUUCUCCUCUCUGAUGCUGUUCUGGCUCCCACAAUGGAAACCACUUCCCCAGAAGGCAGAAUAUCUGUCAGCAGCUUAACAGCCAGCAUGGAGGCAAGCACGAGGAAUGUCUAAGUUACUCUUCAGUUGGUGCCAGAAACAACCAAGUUCUACAGCCGAAACCCUAAGACCAGAGAGUGACCCACACCACUGUGACCAGCAGAAUUAACCAAAUUAAAUCGAAUAACUUCCAAGGGAAAAGUUACAAAAAGUAUAUGGCUAAAUGAGAAGAUUCGGCUCCCCAUUCUGUUUCAGGUAGGGGGCUAAAGAGGUAAAUACCCCUGAGUCCUGUCACUCUCAGGAAUUUGGGGGGACCUGCUGGUGGAGACACUCCAUGGGCUCCAAGUCAUCCGAGAUGACUGGUCGGAAAUGUCUCAGACCUUCUGAGACAAGUGAACACCAAUACUCC